Molecule: long non-coding RNA, 295 nt
Filed under: Bos taurus (domestic cattle)
Lineage: Eukaryota; Metazoa; Chordata; Mammalia; Artiodactyla; Bovidae
Description: long non-coding RNA NONBTAT006192
Source: RNAcentral
GGUUUUACUUAUACUGGAUAUGUAAUGUUGAAUUUAGAAUCUAGGCUUUAUUUUAUGAACCAGUAUCCCCAUCUUCGGAGUCUCAUACUAUUUUUUAUCUUUUCAAAUUACAUUCUUCUAGUGAUUUAGAGUCCCUGUGCAUUCAACGGCCACUCUUCUUACAGCAACAAUGUUCAAUUUAAAGUUAGAUUAACUUCUGAUAUUAUAACAUAUACGACAUUGUAAUGAUAUUGAAUAGAAGGCAUAUUUUUAUUCACCUACAUAUUCAGUAAAACAUAAAGUUGAAAUUUUAAGU